GAUGAAGAACGUAGCGAAAUGCGAUACGUAAUGUGAAUUGCAGAAUUCAGUGAAUCAUCGAGUCUUUGAACGCACAUUGCGCCCCCUGGUAUUCCGGGGGGCAUGCCUGUCCGAGCGUCAUUGCUGCCCUCAAGCACGGCUUGUGUGUUGGGCCUCCGUCCUCCUCCCGGGGGACGGGCCCGAAAGGCAGCGGCGGCACCGCGUCUGGUCCUCGAGUGUAUGGGGCUUCGUCACCCGCUCUUGUAGGCCCGGCCGGCGCUUGCCGACACAUCAAUCUUUUUUCCAGGUUGACCUCGGAUCAGGUAGGGAUACCCGCUGAACUUAAGCAUAUCAAUAAGCGGAGGA
Molecule: unclassified non-coding RNA, 345 nt
Filed under: soil metagenome
Description: partial contains 5.8S ribosomal RNA, internal transcribed spacer 2, and large subunit ribosomal RNA
Rfam family: 5.8S ribosomal RNA (bases 1-120)
Source: RNAcentral